AACGGCCAUACCAUGCUGAAUAUACCGGUUCUCGUUAGAUCACCGAAGUCAAGCAUCAUUGAGCCCGGUCAGUACUUGGGUGGGUGACCACCUGGGAACACCGCGUGCCGUU
Molecule: ribosomal RNA, 112 nt
Filed under: Caerostris extrusa
Lineage: Eukaryota; Metazoa; Arthropoda; Arachnida; Araneae; Araneidae
Source: RNAcentral